Molecule: long non-coding RNA, 383 nt
Filed under: Lactuca sativa (garden lettuce)
Lineage: Eukaryota; Viridiplantae; Streptophyta; Magnoliopsida; Asterales; Asteraceae
Description: long non-coding RNA (LSAT_LNC000289)
Source: RNAcentral
CACCUUACAAUUUUUCAGGAACUAAACGACAUCGAAGAAAUUAUACACGAGAGGAGGAGAUCACAUUACAUAGAACUGGAGGAUUCACGGAUCAAUCGGAGUGCGAAUCUUCAUCAGACGAGACGGAGGAGGAAGAUGAGGAAGAGGUGUAGAAAUUGGUAUGCGGAGGGAAACAGAAGAAAGUCCAAACACAAAGGGCGAAACGGCGAAACUGUUGAAAGGGGAAGCAGAAGAGGAGAUGGAGAACUUGUUGGCUGUGUAAUCUUUCGGGGUUACAAGCUAUGUACUGGCAUAAAUCGGCGGAGAUGUUGGCCACAGCCACCACCAGCGGGCUGUUCAUCACCAUCGUGUUCGUCGAUCGGAAGCGGUUGGAGGUUGUGGGG